Molecule: long non-coding RNA, 238 nt
Filed under: Setaria viridis
Lineage: Eukaryota; Viridiplantae; Streptophyta; Magnoliopsida; Poales; Poaceae
Description: long non-coding RNA (SVIR_LNC008256)
Source: RNAcentral
GUCCAAUUAAUUAGACUGCUUUAACGUGGUUUGUUGCUUCCUUAUAUUGUUCCAGUGUUAGAGGUUGAUUGUCGCUGAGCCGGUGCAUGCAUGCAAGAAGAGACAAAACUGCUAAUGUCAUGCCACAUGCAAAACAGUUUGAAAUUUAAAAAAUAUGAAUAUUAAACCGAGCAUCAAAAUUAAAUUCUGAUUGCACCAUUAGAUUUUUGACAACAAAAGCUUCAUAACAAGAAUCCAC